Molecule: long non-coding RNA, 16520 nt
Filed under: Trifolium pratense (red clover)
Lineage: Eukaryota; Viridiplantae; Streptophyta; Magnoliopsida; Fabales; Fabaceae
Description: long non-coding RNA (TPRA_LNC013345)
Source: RNAcentral
GGGAAUUGCAGGGAUCAUUUAUUGCUGAAGCUGUUAUAGAAAAUGUUGCAGCUACACUUUCAAUUGAUGUAGAUUCUGUCAGAAGCAUUAAUCUUCACACACACAAAAGUCUUCAAUCAUUCUAUGAUCAUUGUUAUGGCGAACCUUUUGAGUAUACCUUGCCAUCAAUAUGGAGUAAGUUAGCUGUUUCUGCAAAUUAUGAACAAAGAACCGAAAUGGUGAAAGAGUUUAACAGAAAUAGUAUUUGGAGAAAAAGGGGAAUUUCUCGAGUACCAGUUGUGUAUCAACUGACUCUAAGAUCAACUCCUGGAAAAGUUAGUAUUCUGUCAGAUGGGUCUGUUGUUGUUGAAGUUGGAGGCAUUGAAUUGGGUCAGGGUCUCUGGACAAAGGUGAAACAAAUGGCUGCAUUCGCCCUUGGUACAAUUCAAUGUGAUGGGACUGGAAGCCUUUUGGAGAAAAUAAGGGUUGUACAAGCUGAUACAGUGAGCUUGAUCCAAGGGGGCUACACUGCUGGGAGCACCACAUCAGAGUUAUGCUGUGAAGCAGUUCGACUUAGCUGUGAUAUCUUGGUUGAGAGGUUGAAGCCUCUCAAGAAAAAGCUGCACGAAAAAAUGGGCUCUAUCAAGUGGAAGGAACUUAUUCUUCAGGUAGCUAUACUACCCUAAAAUAAUAGGGCUUAAUUUCAAAUGUUGUUAGAUUUUCCUCUCGAGGAAGAAAGUUCCGAGACAUAAAAAUAUUUAAUUAUAUGUUGCUGACUAUUUAUCAAUCUACAGGCAUACAUGCAAUCUGUAAACUUGUCAGCGUCUUCAUUUUAUGUACCCAACAAUAACUCGACGAUGUACCUUAAUUAUGGUGCUGCAGUAAGUGAGGUAUUUUAUUUCCAUAUACACAUCUCAAACCUUCAUGGUAUAAUAAGUUCAUCAAAAGCUAUUUUUUAUGUUAAGUACUUAAAUUGUCACACGUGCCAUAUUACUGAAGUAACUGAGUCGAAUUAUUAUAUAUUAUUGUUCUAACUAGUGAAAAUUAUUUCUCAGGUGGAAAUAGAUCUUCUGACCGGAGAAACCAGAUUUCUUCAAACAGAUAUUAUCUAUGAUUGUGGGCAGAGUCUAAACCCUGCUGUGGAUUUAGGACAGGUAUGCUAAUUACAUAUUUGCUUUACAAGCUCAACCCUAAUCAAAGACUAUCUCAACAUAAGAGUUGGAGGGCUAUGAAUAUUUUUAUCUUCUCUCUUCUUCCCUUGCAAACCAAACAAAAUGAGGGUUCCUUUUCAUAGCCUCCUUUCAACCAAACACCAUAAUAUAUAUAAACGCGCAAGGGAUGGACCAGUUUGGUUUGUUCUCCUGAAUCAGUUAAUAACAAUUUGAUACCAUCGUGCAGAUUGAAGGCGGUUUUGUCCAGGGAUUGGGGUUCUUCAUGCUUGAAGAAUAUGAAACAGACCGUAAUGGUUUGUCAUUGGCAGACGGCACAUGGAACUACAAAAUCCCAACAAUAGACACUAUCCCUCAAGAGUUUAAUGUUCAAAUUCUCAACAGUGGACAUCAUCAACACCGUGUGCUUUCCUCAAAGGGUAUGGAUCAAGGCGUUAUAACUUCAUAUCACUUAUCUUUCAAUAGUAUGGAAAAAUGGAUUGUUAGUUGUAACAACUUAUAAGCAUUUUGCAGUUCAUGUUGUUUUUUGUGAGUUAAUGAAGUCGAGAAAGCUUCAUGCGAAUCAGUUUAAAAUUCUUAAUUACAACAUCUAAAACAUUCUCUCAUCAUUAAAUGAGAUUUUAUAGUUUAAAACUCUUAAUUGAGAAAAUGAUAUGAAAUCUGUGUUGCAGCUUCUGGCGAGCCUCCCCUACUACUAGCAGUUUCAGUUCACUGUGCAACAAGAGCGGCUAUCAAAGAAGCAAGGAAACAGCUUCUUUCUUGGAGUGACUUGGAUGAACCUGAUUCAAUAUUUCAAUUGUGCGUUCCUGCAACCAUGCCUGUGGUAAAGGAACUUAGUGGACUUGACAUUGUAGAAAGAUACCUGAAAUGGAAGAUGGGCAGGGUGUAAAAGUGCUUAUUAUGCUUUAAAUUUCAGAAGAUUGGUUUUAAUACUUGUAUACUUACAAUAAGACACAGGUAGCUUUUGCAACAAGGAAAAGGAUAUUCUCUCAUUUGGAAACUUCAUGUAAUAUUAUUGUCAUCUUGAACUUUGGUUGUAUAUUUUGAGGUAUAUUUACAAUAAGACACAAGAUAGCUCAGGAGGGUAGCUUUUGCCACAAGGAAAAGGACAUGCUGGAUAACAAAGUGGAUUCUCCCAUCUUGGAACUUCAUGUAAUAUUGUAAUAUUUAUAGAUAUUGAUUUAUGUAUUAAAAUAUUCAUUGAUGAAAUGGUACUAGAAUAAUUAUUCAGUUGAGUGAACACUUUGAAUUUAUGGAACCAUUCUUUCAUUUUCAAAAUUGAUUACAAUAUAAAUUGUGGAUCAAGUCUAUUUAUAGACCAGUUAACCUGCACACAUGCUUCAACAAUCUGUAACUAACUUGCAUGGUUUUGAUAGGCUAUGUGAGGUCUACACUACUAGUGGUAUAACAUAACUUCCUUACAACAUUCUAGAGUUGCUAUUAAGUAAUUGAAAUGAAAUAACAUAACUUGGUUCAUAGAGAAGUAAAUCUGAAAACAAAAACAUCUUAUAUUCCAGAACUUAAACUUUGAUAAAUGAUAAAUAAUAAUGCUAGCAAACAAUGCAUCCAUGAUGCAAGAAGUAUUUCUUCUUUAUGUCACUGAACAAAACAACUUGUUUUCUUUCUCAAUGAUGGACUUGAAAAUACGAUCGAGGCAACAACAUUAGUAAGCACUUUAUGAAAACCAUCUUACUUGAUCUUUCCUGAGUUGCGUGCAGUUUUCUACAACAUGCUCUACUCCCUUCAAUGUGACAUUAGUACAACACAGUAAUACUAGUUGAAGUCCACGGAAACUCUUUGAAAUCACAUAAAGUGUUUGAUCAUCAACUUCUGUAAAUGAUAAGUUCAACACCUCCAGUUUCGGCACUUCAAAGUUCAUUUCAAGCAGCUUCACAUUUGAACAGAAGGAUAAGUUCAAAUGUCUAAUGUUACAGCACAUUCUUAAAACUUGAGCAAUACCUUCUUCUAUGCCACAAUAAUGGCUCAAAUCAAGCAACUGUAAAUUUGGGGAAACGGAAGCAAACAUUAUGAUGUUUUCAUCUGUUAACCAUUGAUUGUGAGCCAAACGGAGAUACUUUAAUUGAGGGUGUGCAGUAAAAUCCAUCAAAGAUCUAGAACUCUCUAGACUCUUUUUCCCAAUUUCUGUGUGUUCCAUUUUGAUAUCACUAAGUGAAGGACAACUCUUAAUGAGUGCAAAGACGGCAGAUAUUGUGAGUAAUGAACAACAAGUCAAAGUUUAUAGAUACCAAAUCACCCAGAAACAAAGACAGCUCCACAACAUGUGUAUCAGUCAGAAAAACAGCAUUUUGAAAGAUCCAAAUAUUGGAAAUGUUGACACUUGGAUAACAAAUAAAAGAUUCCAGAAUAACUAUAACCGGUGCAAUCUUGGAGAGCAAGUCUCGUUAAAGGAAGACAUUCGUUUGCAAUAGAGAAGAGCAAGUCAUCGGAAAUAUUGGAAGACAACAAAUCAAAACAAGUCAAGUACUUCAAAGUACUCACCAAGGAGGCAAUGAAUUGUGAAGUAAUGUAAGAUGUUNNNNNNNNNNNNNNNNNNNNNNNNNNNGUGCAGUUGUGGCGAGGUUGAACAUGGUAACACAGUUGCAGCUAAUAGAAAUAAUAGAAAUAUAAAAGCUAUUUCAAACCUUCCUGAUAAAAUCACAAUGCAAGUGACAAGAUUAUCAAUAAUGUAAUAAAUAAUCAAAAAAUUACAAACAGAACUAGAGGUGUACCUUUAUUCGUAUUGCAGAUUGAUAUACACUUAAAAAAAUAAUCCAAUGAACUCUUUAUAUAUUGAUAUUUUUCCUGAGAAUUUAUUUUGCUUCUGCUCAAAAGGAAAAGAUAUCAUUUACUAUUUUGUUUUUGGUUGGUAAAAAACAAUUUUUCUUCUGACUUCUUAAAACAAUUGAUUACACAGUUACUUACAAAUACAUUACUUCUUACUCAACUCACAAGUACCCUUUUCACAAGGUAAAUUCUUCGUUACCCAACUUGAAGAUCUUGUUUCAUUACUUGAGGUCAAUAUUUCUUACAAUUUCUUCACUGGUUCUGUACCAAAAGGUCUAAUCAAGUUAUUGAAUUCCUCACCAUCAUCAUUCAUGGGUAAUCCUCACCUAUGUGUCAAUUGUUUGAGUUGCAUUAAAACUAGUUAUAUAAAUUCAUGUGUCCACAAAUCAACUGAUCACAAAGGUAUCACUAAUGUUCAAAUUGUAAUGAUAGAACUUGGAUCUUCAAUAUUUAUUUCUGUUCUGUUGCUAAUGAUAAUUGGAAGGUAUCUCCGUAGAAAGGACUCGAAAAGGACAUCUGAUCUUAAGCAAGUGUUUUUUAAUGUAAGAGGAGAAGAAAGUUUUGAAUUCACAAAUGACAGUGAUUACGAAUUAAAGAUCUCAACUGAAAAGAUGUCUUCCCUUCGAGAGCAAGUGUUGGAGGCUACAGAGAACCUAAAAGAUGAGUAUAUUAUUGGGAGAGGAGCACAUGGUAUUGUGUACAAAGCCAUAAUAGGUCAACAGGUUUGUGCUAUAAAGAAGCUUGAAUUUGGACGCAACAAGUAAAGGCGGUUAAGUAUUACGCGCAAUGAAAUUAAAGUCCUUAGGAUCAUUAAGCAUCAAAAUCUGAUCAAAUAUGUUGACUACUGGAUUGGAAAGGACUAUGGUUUAGUCUUAUAUGAAUUCAUGGAAAAUGGAAGUCUUUAUGAAAUUUUGCAUGAAAAGAAACCCGCACCACCCUUAACACAGAAUGUUCGGUGUAAGACAGCAGUUGGAAUUGCUCAAGGACUAGCUUAUCUUCAUUAUGAUUGUAUUCCACCAAUAGUGCACUGAGACAUCAAACCAAAUUCUUGACAAUAAUAUGGAGCCUAUUAUAGCAGGUACUGCCCUAUGCAAGAAGCUGUUUCAGGAUUCUAAUAGUCAUUCUGAAACCAGGAAAAGACUUUCGUCGCACGUUGUAGGUACCCCUGGCUAUAUUGCACCGGGUAAUUAACUCUUCAUCCACAAUUACUAUUGAUUUUCAAACCCAUUUCAUAGACCAUAGUAAUUUGAUUUCUAGGAUGUGAUAAAAACUUUAUUUUCCAACACAGCUUGGAAGUGGAGUUUUGUCAGAUAGUAUUCUCUAACAUGUUUGCAUUGUCAUCUGCAACAGAGAAUGCAUAUGAUAUAGUGCCUGGAAGAAAGUCUGAUGUAUAUAGCUAUGGAGUUGUUUUGCUUGAGCUAAUAACUAGAAAGAAAUUAUUAGUUCCGUCUAUAAAUGAUGAGGUGAACGAGAUCCACAUAGUGACCUGGGCUGGAUCUGUAAUGAUGGAAACAGGCAAGAUUGAGAACAUUGUUGAUCCAUACCUUGUAAGUGCAUUUCCCAAUUCAAUGGCACUAACCAUUCAAGUCACUGCAGUGCUUUAGUUUGAUCUGGGGUGUGAUGAGGUUCAAUAUGGUGGUGAUGGACUUAUAAUUAAAUUGAUCGGAAAUGGUAAGAUUGCGUAUGAAAAGGUUGUCGGCGUUGCAAAUUUAGUUGUUCCAAAAAUAACCUAUGCUUGGUCUAGUUUGAUCUUUCUUCCCUCUAUCACUGGUCCAAUACUUACCAAACCAUUCAACUGGUUUUUCCUAUCACGUUGGGGUCAAUAUAGACAACUGCAGAGAUCCUUGUAUUCACAGCCCAAAUCAUACUACUUUAUAAACACCAAUCAAUCUGAGGCCACUCUCCAGACUAGUAAAUAGUUGUGGAAAAAAGUUCCAAAGAAAGGCAAUAAAUGGGAAGAGAGACCUUCAAAAAAUUGUGUGGAUGGAUGGUGAACUGCAUGUGCCAACCAGGGACACUAUUAGAGUGUCAUGUCAACAUCCAUAUGUAGUUAGCCAUUGUUCAUUAUCCAAUUUUGUCAACUAAUCUAAUCAUUUUUGCUGAUAAGUCAGUUUUAGGUUCAACAAUUUUGUUUCUGUACACAGGUACAGUUCUUCCUCCAAGAAUUACCAUUGUUUCAUUUAGGUCAAACUUGGUGCGCAACGUUUCUUGAGGAUUGCUUUUAAGCUUUUGAUCCAUAUUUACAAUUUUGGCACAUGGGUGUGACUUUUAGUCAAAUUUGUUUACAAUUAUCAGUUCUUGUUAAUGUCGAGUCUGCUAUAUAUAAAUAUGAAGUGAAAUAAUCUUGAUCAAUCUAGCUUAAUCUGCAACAUUAAAUAGAAAGUUCAGUUUACAUCAAGAAGGAUUUUGAAAAAUGUAGUCAAUUUUCCUAUAACAAAAAAUGUGAAAAGUGAAUCUGAAACUCCAUGGAUGAAUGAGUUUGUGUGUGAAGGAAGGAGAAAACCAGAAGAUGAGCUCAAGUUAGCUAAUGGUUUAUAUACAAUGUUCCAAUCAAAGCUAACUAACAAAUCACACCUAAAACCUAUUACAAGUAGUUAGUAGUACAACCAUAUAGCUUAAGUGUAGAAACUCAGUUAACUUGUUCCACAAGUAACUGAGUUUUCUCAAUAUCUUUCACAAAAAACAAAAUAGAAAUAUAAGUGACAUAGCUGUUUGGAAAAACAAGGUGACAAAAUAAAAGAACACAAUCACAACACAAAAAUAUAACGUGGAAACUACAAAACCGGAGAAAAAAUCACGGCCGACAACUAGAGAAUAAACACUAUAUAUAAAUUGUGACAAUAAACUUCACUCUCAACCACCCUAUGCCCCAGCACACUCAUACUCUCCAAAGUAAAUAUUUGAACUACAUCUCAAAUACUCUUAAACAAGAGCAUAAGAGAAAAGAAGAAAGAACAUAAAUAUAAACUUAGGUUGUUUAUAAGUGCUACUGUUUGGUGUAUUGAAACAAGGAAUUUGAGGUCUCUAUAUAAUAUACCAUUGAGCUCCUCCGCUCUUCACUUUUCUAAGCAAUGCGGGACUUCUAAAAUAUAAUCUCCUUGACCUUUUUUCCUUCAUUAGCGAUGUGGGACUUACAUUGCAAUCAACCCCAACGCCUUCUUAGCUACUGCAAAAUGAUGAACCAUAAUAGGCAGCAAUCAAAGGCAUCAUGCAGGUGCAUGAAAAUUACUUAUCGUUAGAGAAAAAAAAUAAAAAAUUCAAAGAAUCCCAUUUUGUACGGUUACUGACUAUUAGGAUGAAACACUUUCAGUGUCAAUCUUCUAAAUUUUGAAAAAUUAUAUGGCUUCUUCUCCAAAGAAGAAACUAUCUAUUUAUUACCAACUAUCUCUAAUAUAUAAAAAAUAAAAAUAAAAAACUCAUCGAAACAUUUCCCUAGCUCAAGUGGUUGGUGCACAAUCUCUAUGAAUGUUAUAACUUUUUUUUUUACUACUAGUAUUCGGUCUAUUAACAUUAGCGGACCUACGGGUGGGCUGAGGUGGGCCACGGCCUACCACCACCUCAAAAAAAAAAUAUUUUUUAUAUAUAUAUAUAGUAUUAAUUUAAAUGUAUUAUUAAUGAAUUUAAGUCACUCAGUAUAUAUAUUUGUACAAAUAUUAAUUUAGUGUUUAUUAUCGAUGAUUAUAAGUAACUCGGUACACCUAUUAGUUCAAAUUUUAGUGUAAAUAUUAGUUCAUAAUUAAUUGAAUUUAUAGUAUUAGAUAAAAUUAGCAAUUGAACUAGCAUAUAUAAAUACGAAAUGACAUAAAAAUAUAUGUUUAAUUAAUAAAAAUAUAUAGGUUGGUGCAUUGGUAUUGGCUUGGGACCUGGGGGUGUGCUCCUAUUGAGGUCUAAGGUUCAAUUCUCUCUGGUAGCUUCUUCCAAAAAAAUAAAUUUUUUAAUUCCCAUAUUUUCCAUUUGUUGCAAUAUUAGUCUUAUCUCAAUGUUUUUUUUUCUUUUUUGCCGUCAAAAUAGGGAAUUUUAAUGGAAAAAAAAAAAGUGAAUUUUGGUUUCAAAUUUGAUAUUUCAUUUUAGAUUCAAUGUUGAAGACAAGCUUUAUGACCAAAAAUCACAAUUUUAGAGUAAAAAGAUUGAUUGUUGGUACCAAAAUUGUAACAUAUGAAAAUAGAGGACCAAAAAAUUCAAUUUGAAAAUAGGUUGACUAUUGUUCGGCCCACUCACAAUAUUUUUUCUGAUUCCGCCACUGUCCACUGGACCAGCUAAUAUUGAAUGUUAUAAAUUUUAGGAUACCAAGUUCAGUUCCUACUUAUAAACUCAUUGAAUUACAUUGACAAAAAUGUAUUUUACUUGUUUAAAUUCAUCAUUCUUAAAACACUCAUCUUCUACUAUCUUUCAAUGUUUUUGUCUUUGUCUGGUACAUGCAAAUGGGAAUAUAUUAUAAUUGAACGACUCCAACUAGCAUAAGAUAUGUUAAGUUAGAAAGAUUUCAAGUUUCAAUAUCAGCCAUUGGAUACUAACAUACAUAAUGACCAUUUACUAUUGACUAUUGAGAGAUCCUCUCUCCUCAUUUUAUAAAGACUAGUAAUAGUAAUUUCAGUUUUUUCAGUUUUAAAAUUUAUCGUUGUUGAAUAGUUAAAACCUUGAAAAGUUGCAUACUUGUGAUCAUUUAAUUUUUUUGUUUUUGUACAUGUCUUAUAAAAAUUUCACCGUUAUUUAGUGUUAACUAAUUUUAUCGAAAAAUCUGUGGGCACAUAGUAGUUCUCACUUUUCAAUCGAACUUUAAUUUUUUUUUUCUAUACAUAAAAUGAGGAAUCAAACUCAUAACCAUUUAUUUAAAACAUCCGAUAUUAAUAUUACUUAUAUCAAUUUAUAAGUACAUGUCAUAUAUGCUUUUAGUUAAUAUAAGUGAUGUUUUUAAUACCAAAAGUUGAACAUUUGAGUGACAAAGAUGUGAACUUAAAAGAACAAAAUGACAUGAGAAAGAUGAAGCAACAAAAUAGUUCCAAGUAUUAACUUGAAAACAAAACAAAUCGAUGAAUAUUAAUUUUUUAAGUAUUAAGUGUGAGAAAAGUAGAUAAUAAUCCACAGUCCAUNNNNNNNNNNNNNNNNNNNNNNNNNNNNNACAUCCAAAUUACUAGUGUCUGACAUCUCAUAUUAUAAGAGAUUGAUUGAUCCAACUAUUUUGUCUUAUCUUCUCCUUAAAUUUAGAAGUUUGGUCAAACAAAGAUACUCUUGAUAAGAAAUAAAUUAUAAAAUAAUCUUAAACAUAUUUAAAUAAGAUGUUGUGAGUUUUUCUAACUUAAUCAAAUUCUACAUUUGAUCCCUAAUUUAAGCAUACAAUAAUGUUAAAAUAUUUAGAAUUUUUUUAUCAUUCAUUUAAAUCCUGCAAAAUUUGAUAGAAUAGUCUAUUGUAUUUAUGUGCAGAGAAUACUUAAUUUUCUCAGAAAAAAAAUUAAAGGAAGUAAAGUGAUUGUUGGUUUGUGAGUGAAUUUGGAUUCUAGAGAUGUAAAAAUAAAUCACAAAAAAUUAUUAUUGUCCCGUCUUUAUAAUUUAGGCUUAAAUGCACUUUUGAUCCCCCUAUUUUCAAAAAAAUGAAGUUUUGGUCCCCCUAUUUUAAAAACCAACUUUUUAGUCCCCCAAUUUUAAUUUUUUUUGAGUUUUGAUCCCCCAUUCCAUUUUNNNNNNNNNNNNNNNNNNNNNNNNNNNNNNNNNNNNNNNNNNNNNNNNNNNNNNNNNNNNNNNNNNNNNNNNNNNNNNNNNNNNNNNNNNNNNNNNNNNNNNNNNNNNNNNNNNNNNNNNNNNNNNNNNNNNNNNNNNNNNNNNNNNNNNNNNNNNNNNNNNNNNNNNNNNNNNNNNNNNNNNNNNNNNNNNNNNNNNNNNNNNNNNNNNNNNNNNNNNNNNNNNNNNNNNNNNNNNNNNNNNNNNNNNNNNNNNNNNNNNNNNNNNNNNNNNNNNNNNNNNNNNNNNNNNNNNNNNNNNNNNNNNNNNNNNUAAGCAAUUUAUGACCGUAAAUAUAACCUUAUUUAUAACAACUACUAUCAUUUAAGUAUUCAACAAUGAAUUUAUUUUAGAUUCGUUAUUUAAAAGUAUUUACUAUACAAUAAUCCAAAAGUAAAUAAGUAAAAUAACCAUAUCUAUAAGAAAGUCGUGCGAUAUAAUAUAUUGUACAAAUAUUUGCAUAAUUUUUUUUGGGAUACAAUUCAAAUAAGAGGAUGUUUGUUAUUUUUUUAAAAAAAAUACAUUUUAAGUCUUUUAUCUUAUUUAUUUUAUAAUAUAUAUUUUGAUUCUUUAACUUUUUUUGAUAACAUUUUGAUCUUUUAUUUUUGUUUUUGUAAUACUUUGGUCUUUUAUUUUUUUUAUUUGUAACAUAUAAGUCAUUUAUUUUUUAAAAUAAUACAAUAAGGGAUCAAAAUGUUAAAAAAAAAAAAAAAAUUUUUAAAUGAAAUGUUUAAAGUCAGACCCAUAACAAUAUUAUCAAUAUUUAUUUAGUAAAAAAAAAAUAUUAUGAAUAUUCGGAUAAUUUUAAAAUAAGUGUCUUAAAGUAAUAAAAAAAUAAAAAAUAAAUGAUGUGAGAUGUCUAGAAAGUAUAAACACAUGGCAGUAAAGAAUCGAGUGAAGCGGCGGGAAUCAUAGUACUAAUUUUCCCUCGCUACUAUACUCUCAUAAUUUCAACUUAUUUUAAUCACUUUUUUGUUCUUAUUCUUCUCUCUUUACGCAAUAAGCGAUUAUAAACAGUACAAGAUAACAGAUAAAUGCAGACACUGUUGGAGCGAGCUGUCCUUCCUUAUUUAAUUAGUUGACUCUUAGGAGAGAUUCAUGAAUAUAUAGUGAAAAUCUUUGAUUCAAGUGAAAAUCUAUGAAUAGUGAUUAAUUUUCAUUUUCUAUAUUAAUUCCUUGCCAUAUAUAGUGAUUAGUACAUCUGUAUAGCAUUUUCCAAUUCUAUAUUAAUUCUCUUGUAAAUUCAGUUUGUGACAUAGAAAAUCAGAUACAUACAUUAUUACUUGUACUUCACUGAAAAUCAGUAUGGAUGUGAAGAAGAACAACACUGAAAAUCAAACAAGUUUGAUUUUUGCUAUCAAUGGUGAGAAAUUUGAGCUAUACAACAUAGACCCAUCAACCACUUUGCUUGAAUUCUUGCGUACUCAAACUCCAUUCAAGAGUGUUAAACUUGGCUGUGGCGAAGGUAUAUCAUAAUCAUACAUUUAUAUGUCUGUUUCACUUAAUUGUUUGAUUCAUUUAUUCAUUUUUGUGAAGAAAGAUUCUUUUUUUAUUGUUAUUUUAAUUUCAAUAAGCUUCAUACUGACUUAGGGCUUGUUUGGAUUGACUUAUGUUUCAGCUUAUGAAAAACACCUUACUUAAAUAAAUAAAUAAGCUUUUGGGCCUGUUUGGAUUAGCUUAUUUUUUAGCUUAUGCAAUUUUUAUGUAUUAUUAUAAGUUUGUCAAAGGUAGUUUAUGAUAAAAUAACUUAUAAAAAUACAAUUUUCACUAGUGUGAACUUAUAAAAUAGCUUAAAACCUAAUUUAUAUUGCAUAAGCUCAAAAAUAAGCUAAUCCAAAUGGGCUCUUUAUGUAUUAUUAUAAGCUUAUCAAGGUAGUUUAUGAAGAAAUAACUUAUGAAGAUACAAUUUUCGAUAGUGAGAACUUAUGAAUAAACAAAAAACUUAUUUAUUUGCAUAAACUAUUUUUCAUAUUGUCAAAAAUAAGUCAAUCCAAAUGGGUCCUUAAUCAUUAUUUUUUUUUUGCCUAUGUUUGACUUGGUAUUUUUUUGCUGUUUAAUUGACUGUGAUACUGCUUUUAAUGAAUUAUAAAAUUUUCUGAUUGAAUAUGGUUAAUAUCAUACUUUCAUUAUUCUGAAUGUACUUGGUGAAGUUCUGAAUGAAUUUUUAUUGGAAUUAUUUUUCAAUUUCUGAUUGAAUGGAUUAGUACACUUUUUAUUAGAAUCCUAAGAAGAAGUAGAAGAGUUUGGUUCCUCUAAAGGGUUGAUAUACUAGAAUUAUGAUUAUUAAUUGAAAAAUUAGUGUUGAGAAUUUAAGGAUGUCAUAAUUUGUGAUACAUGUUUAUGUUUGAUUGUUUAUUGAAAAGCUAAUAGAUGAAUUGGACGAUGUUUUGAAAAUGGGAUUAUUCUGGUCGCAGUUUAGGGCCAAAGAAAUGCGAGACAAGAGCUAUAUAUAUAUAAUUUUCUUGUGGACCUAAUUUGAUCUCCUAGUCUGCUAGGAAACAACAAACGGUAGUACGAUCAAGCACUGAAGUCGAAUAUAGAACAUGGCUAAUUAAUAUUACAAAUUCUAACUCCCACACUGUUUUGUGAUAAUCUCAGUGCUAUACUCCUUUCCUACUGUUAAGGUAAUUUGUACUCACAAAGUGUGUUAUCAAUCAAUAUAAACUGAGUUUCAAUAAAAGAAUAUGCAAUACAAUCUCUCUUGACAAAGAUGAAGUAGUAGUAGUUUUUUUUGGUUGCAAAAUUUGAGAAAAAGUAACAAUGGUUCCUCGUAUCAUUAUUACUUUUUUUUUGGCCGUUGGUUUUAAAAAGCGAUGAAAAAUAGUCUACAAUUUUCUUUUAAACUUUGAACUUAAUGCUUUGGCGUUGUUGAUUGCAGGUGGGUGUGGUGCUUGCAUAGUUUUAAUAUCCAAAUAUGAUCCUUUACUUGAAAGAGUUGAGGAUUUUACUGCAAGCUCUUGUCUCACACUACUCUGUAGCUUACAUGGAUGUUCAAUAACAACAAGUGAAGGCAUUGGAAAUAGCAAACAUGGAUUCCAUCCAAUUCAUGAAAGAUUUGCUGGAUUCCAUGCAUCUCAAUGUGGCUUUUGUACUCCUGGAAUGUGUGUUUCCUUCUUCGGUGCUCUUGUCAAUGCUGAAAAGAACAACUGUCCAGAGCCACCCGCUGGUUUCUCAAAAGUUACUGUUUCUGAGGCUGAAAGGGCUAUUGCAGGGAAUCUUUGUCGCUGCACUGGUUAUCGACCAAUUGCUGAUGCCUGCAAAAGUUUUGCAGCUGAUGUUGAUAUGGAGGAUCUCGGGUUGAACUCAUUCUGGAGAAAGGGAGAGAGCAACGGCUUGAAGGUUAGUAAGUUGCCUGUAUAUCAUCACGAUCACAAGAAUAUCAAAUUUCCUGUUUUUCUGAAAGAUAUUAAGCAUGAUUUGUUAUUGGCUUCUGAGAACCACCGUUGGCACAAGCCCACUAGUUUAAAGGAGCUUCAGAGCUUAUGGAAACUAAACCAUGCCAAUGAAACCAGGAUAAAAGUUGUUGUUAGUAAUACAAGUAUGGGAUAUUACAAAGAUAACAAAGGCUAUGAUAAGUAUAUUGAUCUAAGUGGCAUUCAUGAGCUCUCACAUAUAAAAAAGGAUCAAACAGGGAUUGAAAUUGGAGCGGCAGUGACAAUAUCUAAAGUUAUUGAAGCACUAAAGGAAGAAAGCAGAAGUGACUCUCUUUCAGAUUUUGUAAUGAUACUUAAAAAGAUUGCAGACCAUAUGGGAAAAGUUGCCUCAGGUUUUAUUCGGAAUACAGCCAGUGUAGGUGGCAAUUUGGUGAUGGCACAAAAGAACAAUUUUCCAUCGGACAUUGUUACAAUUCUUCUUGCUGUAGAUUCAAUGGUUCAUAUAAUGAGUGGCACAGAAUUUGAAUGGCUGACAUUGGAAGAAUUUCUGGAAAGACCGCCAUUAAGUUUGGAAAGUGUGCUUUUAAGUAUUAAAAUUCCAUGUUUGGAAACUAUUAGAAGUACGUCUUCAGACCAAAGAAAUAGAUUAUACUUUGAAACUUACCGAGCUUCUCCUAGACCGCUUGGAAAUGCCCUUCCAUAUGUAAAUGCUGCUUUCCUUGUCGAGAUGUCUUCAAGCGAGGAUUCUGGUGGAUCCAUGAUAGAUGCUUGUAGGCUGUCUUUCAGUGCUUUUGGGAAUAAGCAUUCAAUCAGAGCAAAAAAUGUUGAGGAAUUUUUAACAGGAAAGUUGUUAAGUUUUAGCAUUUUGUAUGAAGCUGUCAACUUGCUUACGGCCACUAUUGUACCUAAAGAUAAAAACUCAAAAACAGCUUACUGUUCAAGUUUGGCAGCUGGUUUUGUUUUUCAGUUCUUUCACCCUCUAAUUGAAAUUUCUGCCGGAGUAACCAACUGUUACUUAAAUGGAAAUUCAAAUUUGCCUUUUGUGAAGGAUUUUGAAUUAAAACAGAAUCAGAAGCAAGUUCAUCAUGACAAAAUUCCAACUUUAUUGUCAUCUGGGAAGCAAGUCCUUGAAGCAGGAAACGAAUAUCACCCCAUUGGUGAGCCGAUCAUUAAAUCGGGAGCCACGCUACAAGCUACAGGUUUGUUUUGUGUCAUCUACAUUUGAAUUAAUUAACUGACUGAUUUCUAUAAGCCCUUUGCACUUAUUUUAUUCUGAUUUGGUGUCUGUCAAUUAUUACUUUUCAUAAAGAGUUGUUUUAAUUCUGGUCAAGUAUCAAAUAUUCACGAAUGAACCGUAUCCAGGUGAGGCUGUGUUUGUGGAUGACAUUCCUUCGCCUCCAAAUUGCCUACACGGAGCAUAUAUAUAUAGUUCAAAACCUUUAACAAGGGUAAGGAGUAUAAAACUUAACCCUGAAUUGGUGCUAGAUGGAGUAAGAGAUAUCAUUUCAAGUAAAGACAUUCCCAGUGGUGGGGAAAACGUUGGAGCUAAGACGAUAUUUGGCAUAGAACCUUUAUUUGCAGAAGAGAUAGCUAGAUGUGCUGGCGAUCGUCUGGCCGUUGUGGUGAGUUCUUGAAUCCCUCAUUUUUCUGGAGAUUAAUGUGUAUACACUUCCUUAUUAUUCACUAAUAGAUUUUUUAGGUUGCAGACAGUCAGAAACUUGCAGAUAUGGCAGCAAACUCAUCCAUUGUCGAUUAUGAUAUUGAAAAUCUUGAACCGCCCAUUCUAUCUGUUGAAGAUGCUGUUAAAAGAUCAAGCUUUUUUGAAGUUCCUCCUUUUCUCUACCCAAAACAUGUUGGUGAUAUAUCAAAAGGAAUGGCCGAGGCUGAUCACAAGAUUCUUUCUGCUGAGGUACAUGGAAUUAUAUUUUUUUGUUCUCCUUUCUUUCCCCUCUUGCUCCCCAUUUCACAACAUUAUGAUCAUCUACAUUGGUAUCUAAUCAGAUGUAUAAGUUAGCUUCUGUAUAAUUAUGAUCAUCUACAUUUUGUCAAACUUAUUCACUGUGAUCUAUUUGUUUUAAUGUGAAACCCAGAUGAAACUUGGGUCUCAAUAUUAUUUCUAUUUGGAGACACAAACUGCACUUGCUGUACCAGACGAAGACAAUUGCAUUACAGUUUACUCUUCAAGCCAAUGCCCUGAGUUUACUCAUUCUACUAUAGCAAGAUGCCUUGGUAUUCCUGAAAAUAAUGUUCGAGUUAUUACAAGAAGGGUUGGGGGAGGUUUUGGUGGAAAGGCAAUAAAAGCAAUUCCUGUAAGUAUGAAGUUGUGUAUUAUUCUUUUUAAAAAAAGUUAUUAAAUCAUUGUCACUUUUAAAGUACCAUUAAGCAAUAAAUAUUGCAGUGUGUAGACAUGACUCCUGGAUUUUCGGUAGUUUGGAGAAGUCACUGAUAUUAGAAGAUAAUGAAAAAAAGAAACUUGUGAAGAUAUCCAUUUGAAUUCAAACUAUAAAUAAAAAUAAAAAAUUUCAUGUCUAGGUUUUUCAAAAAGGUCACAUGAGUGCUUGGUAAAGUGAUCUUUGUAACGGUUUUGUGUUCAUGAAUGAAGAUUCUCAUUUAGGGGUGAAUAUCAAUAGCUUCUUUGCAGUACUCACUAUAAAUAUUAACUACAUUGUGUUGUAUGAUACUAAAUUGUUCAUGCUAAGAUUUGCAUUAUGUACUUUUGUCAUUUUCAUUUCCUAAUUGUCCCAAAACAUUUGGUGCUUUAGCCUUUCCCUUUGUUUACAUCAUACUAGUGAUCGCAGAAAUUAUUUAUUAGUAGAAAUUAUGCAUGAAAACUAUAUAAAAAUUUACAAAUAUAUCCCAUGCACUGAUAAGUGACAAUCAUAUCAUGCAGACAGCUAUAUCUUGUGCACUCGCAGCACAGAAAUUAUGUCGCCCUGUCAGGAUGUAUCUAAAUCGAAAGACAGAUAUGAUAAUGGCUGGAGGAAGGCAUCCCAUGAAGAUAACAUACAAUGUUGGGUUCAAGAAUGAUGGGAAAAUUACUGCAUUAGAGCUUGAGAUAUUGGUCAAUGCUGGUAUAUAUUUGGAUAUAAGUGUAGCAUUGCCACAUAACAUAAUUACUGCACUAAAAAAGUAUAACUGGGGUGCGCUAUCUUUUGAUAUAAAGGUGUGCAGAACAAAUCUUCCCAGUAGAUCUGCAAUGAGGGGCCCUGGGGAAUUGCAGGGAUCAUUUAUUGCUGAAGCUGUUAUAGAAAAUGUUGCAGCUACACUUUCAAUUGAUGUAGAUUCUGUCAGAAGCAUUAAUCUUCACACACACAAAAGUCUUCAGUCAUUCUAUGAUCAUUGUUAUGGCGAACCUUUUGAGUAUACCUUGCCAUCAAUAUGGAGUAAGUUAGCUGUUUCUGCAAAUUAUGAACAAAGAACCGAAAUGGUGAAAGAGUUUAACAGAAGUAGUAUUUGGAGAAAAAGGGGAAUUUCUCGAGUACCAGUUGUGUAUCAACUG